GAUGAACGCUGGCGGCGUGCCUAAUACAUGCAAGUCGAGCGAACAGACGAGGAGCUUGCUCCUCUGACGUUAGCGGCGGACGGGUGAGUAACACGUGGAUAACCUACCUAUAAGACUGGGAUAACUUCGGGAAACCGGAGCGAAUACCGGAUAAUAUAUUGAACCGCAUGGUUCAAUAGUGAAAGACGGUUUUGCUGUCACUUAUAGAUGGAUCCGCGCCGCAUUGGCUAGUUGGUAAGGUAACGGCUUACCAAGGCAACGAUGCGUAGCCGACCUGAGAGGGUGAUCGGCCACACUGGAACUGAGCCACGGUCCAGACUCCUACGGGAGGCAGCAGUAGGGAAUCUUCCGCAAUGGGCGAAAGCUUGACGGAGCAACGCCGCGUGAGUGAUGAAGGUCUUCGGAUCGUAAAACUCUGUUAUUAGGGAAGAACAAAUGUGUAAGUAACUAUGCACGUCUUGACGGUACCUAAUCAGAAAGCCACGGCUAACUACGUG
Molecule: ribosomal RNA, 497 nt
Filed under: uncultured bacterium
Lineage: Bacteria
Description: partial 16S ribosomal RNA
Rfam family: Bacterial small subunit ribosomal RNA
Source: RNAcentral